Molecule: long non-coding RNA, 510 nt
Organism: Copidosoma floridanum
Lineage: Eukaryota; Metazoa; Arthropoda; Insecta; Hymenoptera; Encyrtidae
Source: RefSeq, a predicted model, not a curated record
CUCACCAACUUUCCAAUUUUGGAUUUCAGUUUUAGUACUCUAAUGCCAGUUUGUAUUUGUAUUCUCUCAAUCUGGAGCAGCCAGGUUAUGAUAUAUAACUAAAGACCAGUGUGCCAAGUGAUCAAUGGUUAAGGAGUUGCAUGAAGCUGUAAAUGUGACCUGGUCACCUCUAGUCCAGCAGCUCACCAACUUUCCAAUUUUGCUUGGAUGCAGGAACAGCUGCUCAGCAGUUGGAUGUCAGUUUUAGUCCUGUAAUGUCAGUUUGGAUUUGUAUUCUCUCAAUCAAUACCAGUGUGCCAAGUUAUCAAAGAUUGUCAUACGAUUAUUGUGGGAGCUGGUGGAACGAAUCCAGAUGGCAUUAUUGUGAGUUGCUGUAAUUAUGGAAAAAUGAAGAUUUACUCUGCUGACAAGAUGUUUGAGAACGACAGCAACUAUUUGAUUAGCGGUUCCGACAAACACGAAGGUCCUGUGAGAGCUCUGGACUUUCAUCCAUUUCAGUCUCACAGCGUU